UACGUAGGGGGCAAGCGUUGUCCGGAAUUAUUGGGCGUAAAGAGCGUGUAGGCGGCCAGGUAGGUCCGCUGUGAAAACUUGAGGCUCAACCUCGAGAUGUCGGCGGAAACCCCCUGGCUAGAGUCCGGAAGAGGAGAGUGGAAUUCCCGGUGUAGCGGUGAAAUGCGCAGAUAUCGGGAAGAACACCCGUGGCGAAGGCGGCUCUCUGGGACGGUACUGACGCUGAGACGCGAAAGCGUGGGGAGCGAACAGG
RNAcentral lists this ribosomal RNA (253 nucleotides) under uncultured bacterium. RNAcentral's name for it is "partial 16S ribosomal RNA". It matches the Rfam family "Bacterial small subunit ribosomal RNA", at positions 524 to 776 of the family's 1533-position model. The record is from RNAcentral.